ACGCGGCCACGUGGACGGAGGCGAUCUCCGCUGCGGGGGUGGAUCCCGGGCCAACUGCGGGAGCGCGCGGCUUUAGAUUUCGUCGGAUCUCGGGCGGAGCGGGCCCCACCCCCACACCCUCCCCACCUCCACUUGCUCCACGUCACCUCCCCCCGUCUCCUCCCCCGUUAUCUACCGCCUCCUCUCACCACCACCGCCUCCUCCUCCUCCUCCGCCUUCCGCCUCUCACCACCACGGCUUCCAGCUCUGGCCGUAGCAGCAGCAGCGCGCGCGCGGGUGCCUGUGCCCGCCGCUGCUCACGGCUCCUCGCCGCCGGCUUGUGCCUCCGAUACGGGGUGCGAGGGGGUCUGGAAACCGGCGGAUCUCGGCCGCUCGCCGCCGGAGUCCGGCACGGGUGGAGGAAUCCAAGUAGCUGACUGGGUGCAGCAUAUGCUUUUUCUAACGUUGGGCGUAUGA
This 456-nucleotide long non-coding RNA is filed under the name Oryza sativa tropical japonica subgroup. RNAcentral describes it as "lncRNA OsCMeo_03g0013280". Lineage: Eukaryota; Viridiplantae; Streptophyta; Magnoliopsida; Poales; Poaceae. The record is from RNAcentral.